RNAcentral lists this ribosomal RNA (492 nucleotides) under uncultured bacterium. RNAcentral's name for it is "partial 16S ribosomal RNA". It matches the Rfam family "Bacterial small subunit ribosomal RNA", at positions 29 to 507 of the family's 1533-position model. The record is from RNAcentral.
AGUGAACGCUGGCGGUAGGCCUAACACAUGCAAGUCGAACGGCAGCACAGUAAGAGCUUGCUCUUACGGGUGGCGAGUGGCGGACGGGUGAGGAAUACAUCGGAAUCUACUUUUUCGUGGGGGAUAACGUAGGGAAACUUACGCUAAUACCGCAUACGACCUACGGGUGAAAGCAGGGGAUCUUCGGACCUUGCGCGAUUGAAUGCGCCGAUGUCGGAUUAGAUAGUUGGCGGGGUAAAGGCCCACCCAGGCGACGAUCCGUAGCUGGUCUGAGAGGAUGAUAAGCCACACUGGAACUGAGACACGGUCAAGACUCCUAAGGGAGGCAGCAGUGGGGAAUAUUGGACAAUGGGCGCAAGCCUGAUCCAGACAUACCGCGUGGGUGAAGAAGGCCUUCGGGUUGUAAAGCCCUUUUGUUGGGAAAGAAAAGCAGCAGGUUAAGACCCAGCUGUUCUGACGGUAACCAAAGAAUAAGCACCGGCUAACUUCGUG